Molecule: ribosomal RNA, 467 nt
Filed under: uncultured bacterium
Lineage: Bacteria
Description: partial 16S ribosomal RNA
Rfam family: Bacterial small subunit ribosomal RNA
Source: RNAcentral
GACGAACGCUGGCGGCGUGCUUAACACAUGCAAGUCGAACGGAAAGGCCUCUUUCGGGGGGUACUCGAGUGGCGAACGGGUGAGUAACACGUGAGUAACCUGCCCUUGACUUUGGGAUAACUUCAGGAAACUGGGGCUAAUACCGGAUAGGAGCUCCUGCUGCAUGGUGGGGGUUGGAAAGUUUCGGCGGUUGGGGAUGGACUCGCGGCUUAUCAGCUUGUUGGUGGGGUAGUGGCUUACCAAGGCUUUGACGGGUAGCCGGCCUGAGAGGGUGACCGGCCACAUUGGGACUUAGAUACGGCCCAGACUCCUACGGGAGGCAGCAGUGGGGAAUAUUGCACAAUGGGUGGAAGCCUGAUGCAGCAACGCCGUGUGCGGGAUGACGGCCUUCGGGUUGUAAACCGCUUUCGCUCAUGACGAAGCUUUGCGUGACGGUAGUGGGUAAAGAAGCACCGGCUAACUACGUG